Molecule: long non-coding RNA, 1660 nt
Organism: Cornus florida
Lineage: Eukaryota; Viridiplantae; Streptophyta; Magnoliopsida; Cornales; Cornaceae
Exons: 2
Source: RefSeq, a predicted model, not a curated record
UUAACUAUUAAAUGACACAGUCGUGUCAUUUGGUGCUGUGAAAGUUUAAUUGUUAUUAGGAUUAGUUUGUAUUAGUUAGUUGUGAUUAGUGGUGUUAUGGUGGGCCUACUAGUGUAUAGGUUAGAAAUAGGUUAGUUCAAUCACAUCAUAUACAUGUAUAUAGGUUAUAUUCUGGCAGAACUGGGUGUUAAGGGAAAGAAAGGAAAGAACAAAAAAUGAGCGACGGCCAAAAAAAAAAGCCGAGAGAAAGAGGGAGAAAAGAGAGGAAAGAAACAGAGGAAAGAGGGAGAAAGAAAAUGGAGAUUUAUGAGACCGGAGCAGUAAGGGUAGUUAGCGGUGACUCGAAAGUCGCCUGCAUCAAGGAAAAUCGGUGAUUAAUGGUGUACCGUUUCGACCCAAAGACUCUAAACGGCAAGUCUUCUUCUACUAUAGGGUGUAAUUACAGAAAAGAAAGUCUUUAAUUACAUGUUUCAAUCAGGUCUUUAUUGGGUGAAAUUAAUGUAUAUAUUCUUGAUAUAUAUAAAUAGAUGCUAUGUUGAAAUCUAUUUCCUAAAGGGUUUUAUUUUGGAAAGUCAGUGAUGGGUUAAGGUGGUUUAAUAUUUGUAUAUCUUUAGGGUUAAGUGCAAAAAACCUCCCUUUACUGUCGGUAUUGUGCAUAUCGAUUCCUGUGUGGUAAAAAAAAAACUCAUAUACUAUUAAUUCAGUGCAAAUAAGUCCUUGUGUGGUGUAAAAUAAUGAUAAUAUCCUCACUUCAGCUGAAUAAAUUAAUAACUAUAAAUAUAGGCCAUGUAAAACGACCUUUUUACCAACUUAUCAAAAAAAUAAAAUAAAAAAAAAAAAAAAAUUGAGCUGUAGCCAAAUAGAGGUACUUGGGUGUAGUGUAUAUAUAUAUAAGAUAUAUUAUAUAUAUGUCUCUGCGAAGGGGAAAGUACUGCAGCCACGGGGACGGCGAUGAGGAUCGACCGCAACGGAGGAACGGCGAUGAGCACGACUGGUUCGGAUGGUGAUGGAAAUGGAGGCUUCCCUCUUCGAAGCCUUCGAGAGACCCCACGAUGACCGGUCUUUGAAAUGGGGAACAAGAAUUUCGAUGGCGGUAAAUUAAGAGGACGACGAUUCGCGAUGAAGAAGCGGUUGUUGCAAACGAGCAAAGCAGUGCUCGGUGAGGAGGAUCCCACGGUGAGCACUGAUUUCUGGCCCUUGUGAUGUUGAUGAAGAAGGUGGUCUCUGUAUUGCCGCCGUUGACAAAGAUGGUGCUGUGUCCGGUGAAGUUGUGUUGUCCGGCGUCGGUGAAGGUGAAGGGACCGUAGGUGGCGAGACGGUGGCAACAAGAUGAAUUGAUACGGCGGCGAGAUCAGCGGUGGAACCGCGAGAAAGGGGUCAUCGACAGUUCCAGAUGUAAAGUUAGUUCGUGCAGAACAGAGGUCAGUCUUUAUCACUCUUCUGGUGUCAUCGGCGUAGGUCCUCCACUAUGUUUUUCAUCAUUAUUUAUUACUUUUGAGUUAGACACUUAUUUAUUUCAUCUAUUGGUUUGGGAUUUUUAUUAGGGGUCCACAUUGUAUGGAUUCCCAAGUUGUACUUUGGAGGUUAUUCUUAUAAAGAAAAUUUAUUGGAGAUUACGUUAUCAGAAGAUUCAUUAUUUAAUUAUUAUUUUAGAUUUCUC